AAAGAUUAAGCCAUGCAUGUCUAAGUAUAAGCAAUUAUACCGUGAAACUGCGAAUGGCUCAUUAAAUCAGUUAUCGUUUAUUUGAUAAUACCUUACUACUUGGAUAACCGUGGUAAUUCUAGAGCUAAUACAUGCUGAAAAUCCCGACUUCGGAAGGGAUGUGUUUAUUAGAUAAAAAACCAAUGCCCUUCGGGCCUUUUGGUGAUUCAUGAUAACUUUACGGAUCGCAUAGCCUUGCGCUGGCGACGGUUCAUUCAAAUUUUUGCCCUAUCAACUUUCGAUGGUAAGGUAUUGGCUUACCAUGGUUU
This 308-nucleotide ribosomal RNA is filed under the name uncultured fungus. Its description in RNAcentral is "SSU rRNA". It matches the Rfam family "Eukaryotic small subunit ribosomal RNA", at positions 39 to 352 of the family's 1831-position model. The record is from RNAcentral. Lineage: Eukaryota; Fungi.